Dalotia coriaria is the source of this 494-nucleotide long non-coding RNA. RefSeq lists it as uncharacterized. NCBI's taxonomy places the organism in Eukaryota, Metazoa, Arthropoda, Insecta, Coleoptera, Staphylinidae. The transcript has 2 exons. The record is from RefSeq and is a predicted model, not a curated record.
CGCAAAAGAUGAACAAAACCCGGGAUUGUCACUCAUUCUCAAAGUCUCAAAACUGUCUAAAUCGUAUCACGAGAUUUGUCCACACCGGACAACUGGAGAAAAACCAUUAAAGGUUAUGUAAUGUUGACAUCGCUUCGUUGGUGAGCGCAUCGGGGCAGAUGGGAGCGCAGCAGGAGAGAAUUUUUUUCUUACGGGGCUAAUGCCGCACGCCUGGAGUGUUUACGACGCUUUAAUAACCGGAGCAGCUUUAAGAUUCAGUUCAAAGAGACGCGCGUUAUUUUCGUAUUUAAAAAUCAACUCUGCUGGAAAUAGAUUUUUGAAAAUAUGGAUUUCUUUAAUUCAAUGUAUGCAACAUACAAUACACCAAUCCAAGAAACUGCUAUUACUUUCAGAAGAUUACAAUAUUCUUUAAAUUAUGCAAAUUAGAAACAAAUGCUAUGGUUUAUUACAUUAUAAAAUUAUUAUUUUCUCAUUAAAUACAAUAUAACUAAUAA